This 475-nucleotide ribosomal RNA is filed under the name uncultured Gammaproteobacteria bacterium. Its description in RNAcentral is "bacterial SSU rRNA". It matches the Rfam family "Bacterial small subunit ribosomal RNA", at positions 9 to 477 of the family's 1533-position model. Lineage: Bacteria; Pseudomonadati; Pseudomonadota; Gammaproteobacteria. The record is from RNAcentral.
GAGUUUGAUCGUGGCUCAGAUUGAACGCUGGCGGCGUGCUUAACACAUGCAAGUCGAGCGGCAGCGCGGGGGGCAACCCUGGCGGCGAGCGGCGAACGGGUGAGUAAUGCUUCGGAAUCUUCCUCGUAGUGGGGGAAUAACCUGGGGAAACUCAGGCUAAUACCGCAUACGAACUACGGUUGAAAGCAGGGGAUCGCAAGACCUUGCGCUAUGAGAUGAGCCGAAGUCGGAUUAGCUAGUUGGUGAGGUAACGGCUCACCAAGGCGACGAUCCGUAGCUGGUCUGAGAGGACGACCAGCCACACUGGGACUGAGACACGGCCCAGACUCCUACGGGAGGCAGCAGUGGGGAAUAUUGGACAAUGGGGGCAACCCUGAUCCAGCGACGCCGCGUGUGUGAAGAAGGCCUGCGGGUUGUAAAGCACUUUUAGUGGGGAUGAAAAGCCGAAGGCUAAUACCUUUCGGUCUUGACCUAA